GACGAACGCUGGCGGCGUGCUUAACACAUGCAAGUCGAACGGAAAGGCCCUGCUUUUGUGGGGUGCUCGAGUGGCGAACGGGUGAGUAACACGUGAGUAACCUGCCCUUGACUUUGGGAUAACUUCAGGAAACUGGGGCUAAUACCGGAUAGGAGCUCCUGCUGCAUGGUGGGGGUUGGAAAGUUUCGGCGGUUGGGGAUGGACUCGCGGCUUAUCAGCUUGUUGGUGGGGUAGUGGCUUACCAAGGCUUUGACGGGUAGCCGGCCUGAGAGGGUGACCGGCCACAUUGGGACUGAGAUACGGCCCAGACUCCUACGGGAGGCAGCAGUGGGGAAUAUUGCGAAAUGGGCGGAAGCCUGAUGCAGCAACGCCGCGUGCGGGAUGACGGCCUUCGGGUUGUAAACCGCUUUCGCCUGUGACGAAGCGUGAGUGACGGUAAUGGGUAAAGAAGCACCGGCUAACUACGU
This 467-nucleotide ribosomal RNA is filed under the name uncultured bacterium. RNAcentral's name for it is "partial 16S ribosomal RNA". It matches the Rfam family "Bacterial small subunit ribosomal RNA", at positions 28 to 506 of the family's 1533-position model. The record is from RNAcentral.